Long non-coding RNA from Amblyraja radiata (thorny skate), 130 nucleotides. RefSeq lists it as uncharacterized. The transcript has 3 exons. The record is from RefSeq and is a predicted model, not a curated record. Lineage: Eukaryota; Metazoa; Chordata; Chondrichthyes; Rajiformes; Rajidae.
UUGUAGUCAUUUAUGGUCACCCUGCUAUAGGAAGGAUUGUGUUAAGCUGGUAAGAGUGUAGAGAAGAUAUACGAUAAUGGUGCCAGGACUUGAGGAACUAAGCUACAAAGGGCGAAGUGGAGCUGGUUAG